This 472-nucleotide ribosomal RNA is filed under the name uncultured marine crenarchaeote. Its description in RNAcentral is "bacterial SSU rRNA". It matches the Rfam family "Archaeal small subunit ribosomal RNA", at positions 39 to 506 of the family's 1478-position model. Lineage: Archaea; Thermoproteati; Thermoproteota. The record is from RNAcentral.
UGAUACUAAACCAUGUUAGUCAUUGUAGUAAUACAAGGCAGACGGCUCACUAACACGUAGUCAACCUAUACUUAUGGAUGGGGAUAACCUCGGGAAACUGAGAAUAAUACCCAAUAGGUCAUGAUGCCUGGAAUGGUUUAUGACUCAAAUGAAUGUCGCCAUAGGAUGGGACUGCAGAGCUAUCAGCUUGUUGGUGAGGUAAUGGCCCACCAAGGCUAUAACAGCUACUGGGCUCUGAGAGGAGUAACCCGGAAAUGGGUACCUGAGACAAGGACCCAGGCCCUAUGGAGCGCAGCGUCGCGAGAAAACUUUGCAAUGCGCAGAAAGCUCAACAAGGUUAAUCUGAGUGGUUCCUGCUAAAGGAACCUUUUGUUAUUCAUACAACCACUGAUGAAUAAAGGGGUGGACGAGUUCUGGUGUCAGCCGCCGCGUGUAAAACACAGCACCUCACAGUGGGUCAAGAUGAUUAUUG